AGCCGCCGCAAGGCGGCUUUGUCGUUUGUGGCGCUGUACCCAGCCUCAACCGGUCACACCCGAUACGAAAAGACUGGCUUAUCGCGAUAGUUGUAGCGAUGUACCUUUCGCGCUAGCCUCCCGAAAGCUCUAUGGGGGCGCAAAUGUCCGAGGUUCCGAGCGAGACCAAGAAGCCGGGCAAAUUUGCCAGCAUUCAAAAUGGCAUUGCAUCGAUGGCGGGCAUUCUCGGCGCCACCGGAGCCGUAGGCGGCGCUUGCAUCUAUCUUCUGAGCCCUCGCAUCGACAAGUACAUCGAGG
This 297-nucleotide unclassified non-coding RNA is filed under the name Hevea brasiliensis (rubber tree). The record is from RNAcentral. Lineage: Eukaryota; Viridiplantae; Streptophyta; Magnoliopsida; Malpighiales; Euphorbiaceae.